This 803-nucleotide ribosomal RNA is filed under the name uncultured archaeon. RNAcentral's name for it is "bacterial SSU rRNA". It matches the Rfam family "Archaeal small subunit ribosomal RNA", at positions 141 to 1222 of the family's 1478-position model. The record is from RNAcentral.
UGGGAUUAAUACCGAUAGGUUCUGAGAUGAUGAUGAAAGGCCUCAGGGCCCAAACCCUGCGGGGGCUCGAGGAUGGUUUUGCGGCCUAUCAGGUAGUAGGGGGUUUCACGGACCCCCUAAGCCAUAGACGGGUACGGGCUUUGGGAGAAGUCGCCCGGAGAUGGAUUCUGAGACACGAUAUCAGGCCCUACGGGGCGCAGCAGGCGCGAAAACUUCACACUGUGCGAAAGCACGAUGAGGGAAUCCCAAGUGCUGGCUCGUAAGAGUCAGCUGUUUUUCUGUCUAGAAAACAGAGAGAGUAAGAGCUGGGUAAGACGGGUGCCAGCCGCCGCGGUAAUACCUGCAGCUCAAGUGGUGGCCGCUAUUAUUGGGCCUAAAACGUUCGUAGCCGGUCUAGUAAAUGCCUGGGUAAAUCAUACGGCUUAACCGUACGAAUUCCGGGUAGACUGCUGGACUUGGGACUGGGAGAGGCUAGAGGUACUCCUGGGGUAGAGGUGAAAUUCUGUAAUCCUAGGGGGACGACCAGUGGCGAAGGCGUCUAGCUAGAACAGGUCUGACGGUGAGGAACGAAGCCCUGGGGCGCAAACGGGAUUAGAUACCCCGGUAGUCCAGGGUGUAAACGCUGCUUGCUUGAUGUUAGUCGGGCUCCGAGCCCGAUUAGUGUCGGAGAGAAGUUGUUAAGCAAGCUGCCUGGGGAGUACGGCCGCAAGACUGAAACUUAAAGGAAUUGGCGGGGGAGCACAAGGGCGAAUUCCAGCACACUGGCGGCCGUUACUAGUGGAUCCGAGCUCGGUACCGAGCUU